UGUGUAGGCGGUGUAUCAAGUCAGGAGUGAAAUCCCAGGGCUCAACCCUGGAAUUGCUCUUGAAACUGAUACGCUAGAGUACUGGAGAGGUUAGCAGAAUUCCGAGUGUAGAGGUGAAAUUCGCAGAUAUUCGGAGGAAUACCAGUGGCGCAAGCGGCUAACUGGACAGUAACUGACGCUGAGACACGAAAGCUGGGAUCAAACA
Molecule: ribosomal RNA, 205 nt
Filed under: uncultured bacterium
Lineage: Bacteria
Description: partial 16S ribosomal RNA
Rfam family: Bacterial small subunit ribosomal RNA
Source: RNAcentral